GAAACGGGUGGUAAUGCCGGAUGCUCCAGUUGAUCGCAUGGUCUUCUGGGAAAGCUUUCGCGGUAUGGGAUGGGGUCGCGUCCUAUCAGCUUGACGGCGGGGUAACGGCCCACCGUGGCUUCGACGGGUAGCCGGCCUGAGAGGGCGACCGGCCACAUUGGGACUGAGAUACGGCCCAGACUCCUACGGGAGGCAGCAGUGGGGAAUAUUGCACAAUGGGCGCAAGCCUGAUGCAGCGACGCCGCGUGAGGGAUGGAGGCCUUCGGGUUGUAAACCUCUUUUAUCGGGGAGCAAGCGAGAGUGAGUUUACCCGUUGAAUAAGCACCGGCUAACUACGUGCCAGCAGCCGCGGUAAUACGUAGGGUGCAAGCGUUAUCCGGAAUUAUUGGGCGUAAAGGGCUCGUAGGCGGUUCGUCGCGUCCGGUGUGAAAGUCCAUCGCUUAACGGUGGAUCCGCGCCGGGUACGGGCGGGCUUGAGUGCGGUAGGGGAGACUGGAAUUCCCGGUGUAACGGUGGAAUGUGUAG
This 525-nucleotide ribosomal RNA is filed under the name Bifidobacterium longum subsp. suillum. Its description in RNAcentral is "bacterial SSU rRNA". It matches the Rfam family "Bacterial small subunit ribosomal RNA", at positions 153 to 693 of the family's 1533-position model. Lineage: Bacteria; Bacillati; Actinomycetota; Actinomycetes; Bifidobacteriales; Bifidobacteriaceae. The record is from RNAcentral.